GGUUGUAUAUCUCGGUGGUAGAGUGAGUGCUUAACAAGCACGAGGUUCUAGGUUCAAUCCCCAGGACCUCCA
RNAcentral lists this transfer RNA (72 nucleotides) under Camelus bactrianus (Bactrian camel). It matches the Rfam family "tRNA". From Rfam's summary of the family: Transfer RNA (tRNA) molecules are approximately 80 nucleotides in length. Their secondary structure includes four short double-helical elements and three loops (D, anti-codon, and T loops). RNAcentral also lists the same sequence under 1 other name. The record is from Rfam by way of RNAcentral. Lineage: Eukaryota; Metazoa; Chordata; Mammalia; Artiodactyla; Camelidae.